UACGGGGGGGGUAAGCGUUGUUCGGAAUUACUGGGCGUAAAGCGCACGCAGGUGGCUGAGUCAGUCGAUUGUGAAAGCCCUGGGCUUAACCUGGGAAUUGCAGUCGAUACUACUCAGCUAGAGUAUGGGAGAGGGUAGUGGAAUUCCCGGUGUAGCGGUGAAAUGCGUAGAUAUCGGGAGGAACAUCAGUGGCGAAGGCGGCUACCUGGCCCAAUACUGACACUCAGGUGCGACAGCGUGGGGAGCAAACAGG
This 253-nucleotide ribosomal RNA is filed under the name uncultured bacterium. RNAcentral describes it as "partial 16S ribosomal RNA". It matches the Rfam family "Bacterial small subunit ribosomal RNA", at positions 524 to 776 of the family's 1533-position model. The record is from RNAcentral.